Molecule: long non-coding RNA, 491 nt
Filed under: Rattus norvegicus (Norway rat)
Lineage: Eukaryota; Metazoa; Chordata; Mammalia; Rodentia; Muridae
Description: long non-coding RNA NONRATT031803
Source: RNAcentral
GGCCGUGAGCAACCGGACCCUACAUCCCGCGUGGGCUGCCAACUGAGGACCCAGAGUCCUCCGCAAUUUCCGUCUCCAGGGUUUCCGCCCAGGUGCCAGCGAUUUCCUUCUAUAAGUUUUGAAAUGACACUCCAUUUGUUUCUUGUUUGCCAUUCAAGAAGAAACGUGAAGACUUCAAUUAUGGACCUGGAGAGGUGGGGCUGAAGAGAUAACGGAAGUCAAUAAAGUUCUUGGCGAUGGCUCAGUUCAUAGAGCACGGUUAUUGAACAUACAUAAGGUCUGGAGUUCAAUCCCCAGCCCUGGAUCAGCCAGCUCCCCAGUCUUACUAUUAAUUAAGGACUAAAUUUUCAAGUUAUUGUCAGUACUCCUGGUUAUUUUUUCCUGUAAUAAGCAAAGAUGUUGGGGUUGAGGCACUUUGAGUCCUGAAUACGCAGCUCUUGGGCCUUCAUGUGCAGCCCUGGCUGCCUGAGCAAAAGAACUGUCAGACGGAG